UAUGGGGCGCAGCAGGCCGGGAAACUCUGCAUAGGCGAAGCUUGACAGGGUUACUCUGAGUGAUUUCCGUUAAGGAGAUCUUUUGGCACCUCUAAAAAUGGUGCAGAAUAAGGGUUGGGCAAGUCUGGUGUCAGCCGCCGCGGUAAUACCAGCACCCCGAGUGGUCGGGACGUUUAUUGGGCCUAAAGCAUCCGUAGCCGGUUCUACAAGUCUUCCGUUAAAUCCACCUGCUUAACAGAUGGGCUGCGGAAGAUACUAUAGAGCUAGGAGGCGGGAGAGGCAAGCGGUACUCGAUGGGUAGGGGUAAAAUCCGUUGAUCCAUUGAAGACCACCAGUGGCGAAGGCGGCUUGCCAGAACGCGCUCGACGGUGAGGGAUGAAAGCUGGGGGAGCAAACCGGAUUAGAUACCCGGGUAGUCCCAGCUGUAAACGAUGCAGACUCGGUGAUGAGUUGGCUUAUUGCUAACUCAGUGCCGCAGGGAAGCCGUUAAGUUUGCCGCCUGGGGAGUACGGUCGCAAGACUGAAACUUAA
RNAcentral lists this ribosomal RNA (531 nucleotides) under uncultured crenarchaeote. RNAcentral's name for it is "bacterial SSU rRNA". It matches the Rfam family "Archaeal small subunit ribosomal RNA", at positions 324 to 859 of the family's 1478-position model. Lineage: Archaea; Thermoproteati; Thermoproteota. The record is from RNAcentral.